Molecule: ribosomal RNA, 549 nt
Filed under: uncultured bacterium
Lineage: Bacteria
Description: bacterial SSU rRNA
Rfam family: Bacterial small subunit ribosomal RNA
Source: RNAcentral
AGGGAAUAGAUACCCCGGUAGUCCACGCCCUAAACGAUGUCAACUAGUUGUUGGGGGAGUAAAAUCCCUUAGUAACGCAGCUAAACGCGUGAAAGUUGACCGCCUGGGGAGUACGGUCGCAAGAUUAAAACUCAAAGGAAUUGACGGGGCCCGCACAAGCGGUGGAUUAUGUGGAUUAAUUCGAUGCGACGCGAAAAACCUUACCUGGCCUUGACAUGCCACUAACGAAGCAGAGAUGCAUUAGGUGCCCGAAAGGGAAAGUGGACACAGGUGCUGCAUGGCUGUCGUCAGCUCGUGUCGUGAGAUGUUGGGUUAAGUCCCGCAACGAGCGCAACCCUUGCCAAUAAUUGCCAUCAUUCAGUUGGGCACUUUAUUGGGACUGCCGGUGACAAACCGGAGGAAGGUGGGGAUGACGUCAAGUCCUCAUGGCCCUUAUGGCCAGGGCUUCACACGUAAUACAAUGGUCGGUACAGAGGGUUGCCAACCCGCGAGGGGAGCCAAUCCCAGAAAGCCGAUCGUAGUCCGGAUUGUAGUCUGCAACUCGACUAC